RNAcentral lists this ribosomal RNA (497 nucleotides) under uncultured bacterium. RNAcentral's name for it is "partial 16S ribosomal RNA". It matches the Rfam family "Bacterial small subunit ribosomal RNA", at positions 28 to 507 of the family's 1533-position model. The record is from RNAcentral.
GAUGAACGCUGGCGGCGUGCCUAAUACAUGCAAGUCGAGCGAACGGACGAGAAGCUUGCUUUUCUGAUGUUAGCGGCGGACGGGUGAGUAACACGUGGAUAACCUACCUAUAAGACUGGGAUAACUUCGGGAAACCGGAGCUAAUACCGGAUAAUAUUUUGAACCGCAUGGUUCAAAAGUGAAAGACGGUCUUGCUGUCACUUAUAGAUGGAUCCGCGCUGCAUUAGCUAGUUGGUAAGGUAACGGCUUACCAAGGCAACGAUGCAUAGCCGACCUGAGAGGGUGAUCGGCCACACUGGAACUGAGACAUGGUCCAGACUCCUACGGGAGGCAGCAGUAGGGAAUCUUCCGCAAUGGGCGAAAGCCUGACGGAGCAACGCCGCGUGAGUGAUGAAGGUCUUCGGAUCGUAAAACUCUGUUAUUAGGGAAGAACAUAUGUGUAAGUAACUGUGCACAUCUUGACGUUACCUAAUCAGAAAGCCACGGCUAACUACGUG